Long non-coding RNA from Folsomia candida, 1723 nucleotides. RefSeq lists it as uncharacterized. The transcript has 2 exons. The record is from RefSeq and is a predicted model, not a curated record. Lineage: Eukaryota; Metazoa; Arthropoda; Collembola; Entomobryomorpha; Isotomidae.
UUGGGCGAUGUAACGGUACAUUUUGGACACCGAGUUGAUAAGGACGGCCGAUUUUUGCUCCCACGUGGAUUGCAAUGCGUGGCGCCACUCGCGAGAUACGAGGCGACAUUGGUGAAUCUCGGGAGUGUCGAGUGAAUUGGUCAGUAUCCCUCGGCUGAUUAUUGAAAUUCUGGAAAAAUUCGUGCACUUGGUGCAAAUGGAGGUCGUACGGGGUCUUCUCCAUCCUUUGUGCCAAAAAGGGGCCAGCGAAAUCCAGAGAGCGACAGUUGACAGUGAAUUAACCACGUCUCAAAUCGCACGUCACAAAGUUAAUGAAACCGAAACGCCCCAUUUAUUUAUGUCACAGCGAGUUACGCAGCAAAGUCCGAGGAAGCUGAAGAAUAAACAAAACAAUAAUUAGAAUCACCACCACCACCAUCGCCACUGGAACCAGCUUCGAAUUUCAUGGAAUUUUAAACAAUAAGAAUCCUCGAGAAGCACGUAGCCAAUACUUUCACGUCAUAAAUAAUAAUGUUCGACCUCUCUUGGUCAGAAGCCUAGUUUUCAUGUUCAUUCUUCCUUCUUGAUGAGAUGUGAGACGUUUUUUCUGGUUGAGAAAGAAUGCAGUAAUUAAAAUUUACUGCGUAUGUAACAUGGCUCAUAUUUCCUGUCGUAAAAUUUCAUAGAUUUAUUUUCAAAUUCAAAAGAUGGUGGCAUAUAUAAUAUUCUGAAUUUGGAGCUAGAAACUUGGUGCGCCACAAUUCGUGAUUUUUUCCAUUUUGCAUGAAUUUUUAUAAAUAACUCAAGGUACGAAAAACAAAAGUGCUCAUCGUAAUAUUGUUAAAGAGGCUGCUGUAAAUGAGGCUAUCCGGUUCUGGACUUGUACUUUUAUUACCAUCAAAAUAAAACAAUUUAUUGGACAUGAACGAACAAGCGCAAUGAAGUGAAGCGGCCCGGAGUUAAAUAUUGCGAUUAUAUACUUUGUCCGUCUGUCUGUCCGUCCGUCAGCACGAUACGUAAUUCUCGAAUGAGUCAACAUUUUUCACUUCUGUCUUAUGAUAUGGACACCUAAUUUUAAAAGUGAGAUGGAAAUCUUUAACUGGUCAAAAUUUCAUGGUACGGUGAUGAGAUCAAAGGCUAAUGUUAUUAGUUUUUAUGGAUUUAGACAUCAAAUCAACAUUAUUUCGGCGUACUUAUACCCACGUCGAUCCACAGCACAGCGUCGACCGGAUGCCCAUGUAAACAAAGUAAUGUCAAACGUCAAAAUUAGAAACGUCAGAAAGUGUCAGAUAGCAAAUGAUGCGUAUCGAGUGCAGUAUUUUCAGGACUCCGUGCGUUUCCGCGAGUUUGUUAUGUCUGUCGCUGCAGCUGCAGUGCAGUUGCACUGAGGAUGAACAAAAAUAAAUCCAUAAAAAGACAAUUUCAUUUGCAUAUCUUGCUUUUUUGAGUACCUCAACUUCUCAUUAGUUAAGUCAGGUUAUGUAUGUGUACUAUGAAACGUUAUUUUUUCAUGAUUAAAAAUUAUUACGCAAAAUAGUGUCUUUAAUGUUAUCAAUGUGUUCCAGUAUUGUGAAAGUUCAUGAUCAAACGAGUUUUAAAAUAUGACCAGACAGAAUAUGUAAAAUAGUAUGGUUAUACGAUGUUGUACCUCAGUCGGUCGGUAUUGCAUACCGACCGAAUCUGUACCAAAAAAAGUAAGGCUCUCUCUCCAAAGCAAUAAACAAACCUGUUGGUCUGGGACUUG